GAGGGUGUAGCUCAGUGGUAGAUCACUUGCAUAGACUAUGUAAGUCCCUGGGUUCAAUCCCCAGCACUACUG
RNAcentral lists this transfer RNA (72 nucleotides) under Marmota monax (woodchuck). Its description in RNAcentral is "tRNA.Ser". Lineage: Eukaryota; Metazoa; Chordata; Mammalia; Rodentia; Sciuridae. The record is from RNAcentral.